Molecule: ribosomal RNA, 1050 nt
Filed under: uncultured bacterium
Lineage: Bacteria
Description: bacterial SSU rRNA
Rfam family: Bacterial small subunit ribosomal RNA
Source: RNAcentral
CUCCGGGCGGUACAGGAUGGGCCCGCGUCUGAUUAGCUGGUUGGCGGGGCAGCGGCCCACCAAGGCAACGAUCAGUAGCCGGCCUGAGAGGGUGGACGGCCACAUUGGGACUGAGACACGGCCCAGACUCCUACGGGAGGCAGCAGUGGGGAAUAUUGCACAAUGGGGGAAACCCUGAUGCAGCGACGCCGCGUGAGCGAAGAAGUAUUUCGGUAUGUAAAGCUCUAUCAGCAGGGAAGAAAAUGACGGUACCUGAGUAAGAAGCUCCGGCUAAAUACGUGCCAGCAGCCGCGGUAAUACGUAUGGAGCAAGCGUUAUCCGGAUUUACUGGGUGUAAAGGGAGCGCAGGCGGCCUUGCAAGUCUGAUGUGAAAUACCGGGGCUCAACCCCGGAGCUGCAUUGGAAACUGUGAGGCUGGAGUGUCGGAGAGGCAGGCGGAAUUCCUAGUGUAGCGGUGAAAUGCGUAGAUAUUAGGAGGAACACCAGUGGCGAAGGCGGCCUGCUGGACGAUGACUGACGCUGAGGCUCGAAAGCGUGGGGAGCCUUAAAAAGAAUGGNUNCCCCUGNUNGUCCNCGCCGUNNNCGACCCCUAAAGGGUGUCGGGGAGCAAAGCUCUUCGGUACCGCAGCAUACGCAGUAUGUAUUCCACCUGGGGAGUACGUUCGCAAGAAUGAAACUCAAAGGAAUUGACGGGGACCCGCACAAGCGGUGGAGCAUGUGGUUUAAUUUGAAGCAACGCGAAGAACCUUACCAAGCCUUGACAUCCUGAUGACAGCAUAUGUAAAAAAUGUUCCCUUCGGGGCAACAGAGACAGGUGGUGCAUGGUUGUCGUCAGCUCGUGUCGUGAGAUGUUGGGUUAAGUCCCGCAACGAGCGCAACCCUUAUUCUUAGUAGCCAGCAGGGAAAGCUGGGCACUCUAGGGAGACUGCCGGGGACAACCCGGAGGAAGGCGGGGAUGACGUCAAAUCAUCAUGCCCCUUAUGGCUUGGGCUACACACGUGCUACAAUGGAAAAACAAAGGGAAGCGAAGCGGCGACGUGGAGCGAAUCC